UACGGGGGAUGCAAGCGUUAUCCGGAAUCACUGGGCGUAAAGCGUCUGCAGGCGGUUUCCUAAGUCCACUGUUAAACCUUGAGGCUCAACCUCAAAUCUGCAUUGGAAACUAGGAGACUUGAGUAUAGUAGGGGUAGAGGGAAUUUCCAGUGGAGCGGUGAAAUGCGUAGAUAUUAGAAAGAACACCGAUGGCGAAGGCACUCUACUGAGCUAUUACUGACACUCAGAGACGAAAGCUAGGGGAGCAAAUGGG
Molecule: ribosomal RNA, 253 nt
Filed under: uncultured bacterium
Lineage: Bacteria
Description: partial 16S ribosomal RNA
Rfam family: Bacterial small subunit ribosomal RNA
Source: RNAcentral